Molecule: long non-coding RNA, 1408 nt
Filed under: Medicago truncatula (barrel medic)
Lineage: Eukaryota; Viridiplantae; Streptophyta; Magnoliopsida; Fabales; Fabaceae
Description: long non-coding RNA (MTRU_LNC005318)
Source: RNAcentral
GUAACCCCCCACCAACCCACACACACAUUAUGCACUAGAAUUAAUUAAAAUCUUAAACAAGUAAGAUAAUGACAUUCUUUCAGAAAAAGAAAAAAAAAAAAAAAAAGUAAGAUAAUGACUGGACUUGUUCACCACCUCGCUCUUGUCUGCUUGGGACAUGUAGCCGACAACGCAGCUUGACCCUUCAACAUUUUUACAUAUUUUUGUUGAAUCAGAACUUCUUGCAUCUUUAUCUUUCACAUGUCUCAGGUAAAUUUUUCGAUAUCCCACUUGGUAUUCAUGGUGUUCGCUUAAUUAUUUUUCUUGUGCUCGCAUUAGUUGUUGUGAAUUCGUAUCAAAACUCAAACCAAUGGUUUGAUGUGUGGAGAAAAAUUAGCACCAAUCAAACCAACGAAAUCAACCAAACACAUACAUACAAUAAAAUAAGAUAAAGUAGAACAAAAAGAAGAACAACACGGUGAUAUUUGUUCACCCGGUUCGACCCAAAUUCGACUUAUGUAUAAAGGAGAUAGAUCUCUUUAAUUCAGUACUAAUGAGUUAACCAGAAAGUUAUAAGAAAUUAGUUUUCAACCGUAAAACACCGGUACCACGGUUGGCUUGGGAGAAGCAUAAAACGAUAGAAUCAUUAGCUAAGAGCAACAACAUAAGUAUAGUGUUGGACACCAAAUCUUCAUCUCAAAGAUAUUGUAAAUAUGAGUCAUCACUAUAUACAUCUGAUAUAGUGAAGAAGGAGGAGGAGGAGGAGGAGGAUAAAAACCUCGACAGAGAUUGCUUUUUUUUAGUUACAGUUUAAAUUUACAUAAAUCAUAACAUGUGAAAAACAUGACAUCUGCACAAUAACAAGAAGGAGUUUCUGAUUCUGAAUCUCUAAUGCAAUCACAUUUUUUGCAAGCUGAGUGACAUCCAUCAUCUCUACAAAUACAUUGAGGAAAAAAAUGACCUUCUUUCACAUAGCACUCACAUUUAUCACAGCAUGCUGAAUGAUAAAUAACAUCAUAAGUAUCUUCACCAUUGGAGAGCACUCGAGUGGUGAAUGGUGUUGAAUCAAAACGAGCAUCAACAAUAGUUGCGGUGAAGCACAAGAGCAAAAGCAACACAGAUAACUUCACAAAUGUAUUCUUGUUCGACUCCAUUACUUUACAAAUACAUUUAUUUUCCUUGUGAAGAGGCAAGUAGCAGUAGCAGUACAUGGUUCUCUAUUUAUAAUGGAAGUAUUGAUAUUUUUUUUUAUAAUAUACACGUCUUUGCCAUUCAAAAUAUAAUAUAAUAUAUACGUCUUUGUACCUAUUAUAGUUUAUAGUUUAUAUAUACAAUAUUCAUAGUAAAAACCUUUCAAAAAUAUAUAUAAUACUUGAAGUAAAAAAAACAAUAAUAUACAUAUCUGUAUGCCAAGCAUCGGUUAUUAAAC